Molecule: non-coding RNA, 525 nt
Organism: Poeciliopsis prolifica (blackstripe livebearer)
Lineage: Eukaryota; Metazoa; Chordata; Actinopteri; Cyprinodontiformes; Poeciliidae
Source: the annotation of a RefSeq genome assembly
AUGGAGCUGCUGAUGCAAAAGGUUUUUGUACGGCGCCUCAAUGAGUUUGUAUCACUGUGGUGGACUUUUGGUGGAGGAACCAGACUAGAGGUUGGAAGUAAUACCCGCCCCUCCCUGACAGUGCUGCCCCCUUCCAGUGUGGAGCUGCAGCAGCAGCAGGUUACCCUCCUGUGUCUGGCCAACAAGGGCUUCCCCUCAGACUGGACUCUGUCCUGGAAGCUGGACGGCAGCACAACCAGCUUCACCUGGGAGGAGACCAAGAGCUCUGGGAUGGUGCAGAAUGACGGGCUCUACAGCUGGAGCAGCACCCUGAGGAUCCCUGCAGCCCAGUGGAGGAAGGUGGGCUCUGUGACCUGCAAGGCUUCCCAGGGCUCCCAGUCUGCAGUCACAGAGACACUGAGGAAAAACCAUUGUCCUGAGCUGAUUCACUAGAAGAUCACUAGUUUUCUCUACUACUGCUUUCUGUGUUGUUUAAUUAUUUCUCUCUUCUUUAUUUCUUAUUUCUUCUCUUGUUCUUCUACAAAU